This 100-nucleotide ribosomal RNA is filed under the name Microcebus murinus (gray mouse lemur). Lineage: Eukaryota; Metazoa; Chordata; Mammalia; Primates; Cheirogaleidae. The record is from RNAcentral.
GUCUCUGGCCACACCACCCUGAACGCGCCUGAUCUCGGAAGCUAAGCAGGGUCGGGUACUUGGAUGGGAGACCGCCUGGGAAUCCCGGGUGCCCUAGGCU